This 492-nucleotide ribosomal RNA is filed under the name uncultured bacterium. RNAcentral describes it as "partial 16S ribosomal RNA". It matches the Rfam family "Bacterial small subunit ribosomal RNA", at positions 29 to 507 of the family's 1533-position model. The record is from RNAcentral.
AGUGAACGCUGGCGGUAGGCCUAACACAUGCAAGUCGAACGGCAGCACAGUAAGAGCUUGCUCUUACAGGUGGGGAGUGGCGGACGGGUGCGAAAUACAUCGGAAUCUACUUUUUCGUGGGGGCUAACGCAGGGAAACUUACGCCAAUACCCCAUACGACCUACGGGUGAAAGCAGCGGAUCUUCGGCCCUUGCGCGAUUGAAUGAGCCGAUGUCGCGUUAGCUGGUUGGGGGGGUAAAGGCCCACCAAUGCGACGCUCCGUAGCUGGGCUGAGAGGAUAGUCAGCCACACUGUGACUGAGAGACGGGCCACAGUCCUCCGGGAGGCGGCAGUGGGGAAGAUUGGAGAAUAGGGGCAAACCUGUGCCAGCCACACCGCGUGUGUGAAGAAGGCCUUCGGGUUGUAAAGACCUCUUGUUGGGAAGGAAAAGCAGCAGGUGAAUACCCCGCUGUUCUGACGGUACCCAAAGAGUAAGCACCGGCUAACUUCGUG